This 1174-nucleotide ribosomal RNA is filed under the name Streptomyces lavendulae subsp. lavendulae. RNAcentral describes it as "bacterial LSU rRNA". It matches the Rfam family "Bacterial large subunit ribosomal RNA", at positions 1763 to 2925 of the family's 2925-position model. Lineage: Bacteria; Bacillati; Actinomycetota; Actinomycetes; Kitasatosporales; Streptomycetaceae. The record is from RNAcentral.
UGAGCUGGGGGUGGCCGCAGAGACCAGCGAGAAGCGACUGUUUACUAAAAACACAGGUCCGUGCGAAGCCGUAAGGCGAUGUAUACGGACUGACGCCUGCCCGGUGCUGGAACGUUAAGGGGACCGGUUAGUGCACUUUCGGGUGUGCGAAGCUGAGAACUUAAGCGCCAGUAAACGGCGGUGGUAACUAUAACCAUCCUAAGGUAGCGAAAUUCCUUGUCGGGUAAGUUCCGACCUGCACGAAUGGCGUAACGACUUCUCGACUGUCUCAACCAUAGGCCCGGUGAAAUUGCACUACGAGUAAAGAUGCUCGUUUCGCGCAGCAGGACGGAAAGACCCCGGGACCUUUACUAUAGUUUGAUAUUGGUGUUCGGUUCGGCUUGUGUAGGAUAGGUGGGAGACUUUGAAGCGGCCACGCCAGUGGUUGUGGAGUCGUCGUUGAAAUACCACUCUGGUCGUGCUGGAUGUCUAACCUGGGUCCGUGAUCCGGAUCAGGGACAGUGUCUGAUGGGUAGUUUAACUGGGGCGGUUGCCUCCUAAAGAGUAACGGAGGCGCCCAAAGGUUCCCUCAGCCUGGUUGGCAAUCAGGUGUUGAGUGUAAGUGCACAAGGGAGCUUGACUGUGAGACCGACGGGUCGAGCAGGGACGAAAGUCGGGACUAGUGAUCCGGCAGUGGCUUGUGGAAGCGCUGUCGCUCAACGGAUAAAAGGUACCCCGGGGAUAACAGGCUGAUCUUCCCCAAGAGUCCAUAUCGACGGGAUGGUUUGGCACCUCGAUGUCGGCUCGUCGCAUCCUGGGGCUGGAGUCGGUCCCAAGGGUUGGGCUGUUCGCCCAUUAAAGCGGUACGCGAGCUGGGUUUAGAACGUCGUGAGACAGUUCGGUCCCUAUCCGCUGCGCGCGUAGGAAUAUUGAGAAGGGCUGUCCCUAGUACGAGAGGACCGGGACGGACGAACCUCUGGUGUGCCAGUUGUCCUGCCAAGGGCAUGGCUGGUUGGCUACGUUCGGAAAGGAUAACCGCUGAAAGCAUCUAAGCGGGAAGCCUGCUUCGAGAUGAGUAUUCCCACCCCCUUUGAGGGGUUAAGGCUCCCAGUAGACGACUGGGUUGAUAGGCCAGAUGUGGAAGCCCUGUAAGGGGUGGAGCUGACUGGUACUAAUAGGCCGAGGGCUUGUCCUC